Molecule: ribosomal RNA, 468 nt
Filed under: uncultured bacterium
Lineage: Bacteria
Description: partial 16S ribosomal RNA
Rfam family: Bacterial small subunit ribosomal RNA
Source: RNAcentral
GACGAACGCUGGCGGCGUGCUUAACACAUGCAAGUCGAACGGAAAGGCCCUGCUUUUGUGGGGUGCUCGAGUGGCGAACGGGUGAGUAACACGUGAGUAACCUGCCCUUGACUUUGGGAUAACUUCAGGAAACUGGGGCUAAUACCGGAUAGGAGCUCCUGCUGCAUGGUGGGGGUUGGAAAGUUUCGGCGGUUGGGAAUGGACUCGCGGCUUAUCAGCUUGUUGGUGGGGUAGUGGCUUACCAAGGCUUUGACGGGUAGCCGGCCUGAGAGGGUGACCGGCCACAUUGGGACUGAGAUACGGCCCAGACUCCUACGGGAGGCAGCAGUGGGGAAUAUUGCACAAUGGGCGGAAGCCUGAUGCAGCAACGCCGCGUGCGGGAUGACGGCCUUCGGGUUGUAAACCGCUUUCGCCUGUGACGAAGCGUGAGUGACGGUAAUGGGUAAAGAAGCACCGACUAACUACGUG